AACACUGCAAAACAGAAUUGUUAAAGUUUUAAUUUUAAUAUCAAUUCAGGUUAGAUUUUUUUGUGCGGAACGCAGAUUUUCUGUGCGCAGAGACCGUGCGCAAUUGCCCACGCGUGCAGCUUAGAGGGAACAUUGCCCUUGAGUGAUGUUGUUGCACAGGUUUAUCUGUGGAUAGAGGCAGUGGAAAGAUUCUUUCUCCUGUCUUCUCCAUUAUAUGUUAAAGAAAGGCACGAGGAUGGUUUUUCUGGACUUCCGGAAACAUAGUGCCAGCAGCAAGACGGAGAUCAGGCCAACACCACCAACGGUAGCAAACACGAUGGUACCUGAUGAAAACAAGACAAUUAUCAGAUCUUGUUCAUGUAAACACUUUAAGCCAAUAAGCUAUUAGCUAAGCUAAUAUCAAACAAAACUUUACCUGUGUUGAUUUUAGGUUCUUCUUCAGCUGUGAAGUUUAGGGCUGUAGGAAGAAUGAAGUAUUACUUCAUGUGUACCUGAACAUAUGUAUCGAAACCAGUCCGCUCCACUCCACACCAGUAUUUCUUUGAGUCUGACAGCUGAAGAUUGCUGAAGGUCACAGUGACGAAUCCAUCCCCAGAGUCCACCAGAGCAAUCCUCCCUGACUCUGCUCUUCGUCCAGAUUCUACAGUAACCAGUAUGUCUCCUGUGCUUGUACAUGGAUCUUUGCAGAAAUACUUGUUAUUGCUCCAUGCAAGUGCGUGUGAGCACCGGAAGGAGACAUUUCUCCCUUCAAAUUCCUCUACAUUGAUUAUGCCUCCAUCGAUUAAUGUAACUGUUGAAAUUGAUGUAAUAAGUCAUUUAGUAAUAAUAAUAAGUCAUGUGAUAAGAUAUAAGACAUCAAAAUAAACAUUUAAAUGACAUAAUCUACUAAACUUGUGUAGUCACUUACCAUAUAAAAAGCAGUAGAGGAAAGAAGUCUUCUUCAUUGUAGCUGAAAAAGUGACGUGUACGUAGUUCUUUAUUUUAAGUGAUCUCUUAGACAACCCAGACCUGCUUCUGCAGGUUUGUGGGCACAAAGGGAGGAAAUG
Molecule: long non-coding RNA, 1046 nt
Organism: Pelmatolapia mariae (spotted tilapia)
Lineage: Eukaryota; Metazoa; Chordata; Actinopteri; Cichliformes; Cichlidae
Exons: 3
Source: RefSeq, a predicted model, not a curated record